This 366-nucleotide ribosomal RNA is filed under the name uncultured organism. RNAcentral describes it as "bacterial SSU rRNA". It matches the Rfam family "Bacterial small subunit ribosomal RNA", at positions 526 to 896 of the family's 1533-position model. The record is from RNAcentral.
CGUAGGGGGCAAACGUUGUCCGGAUUUACUGGGUGUAAAGGGUGCUCAGGCGGUCUUGUAAGUCAGAAGUGAAAUCCUAGGGCUUAACUCUGGAACUGCUUUUGAUACUGCAAGGCUUGAAUAUGGAAGAGGAGGGUGGAAUUUCUGGUGUAGCAGUGAAAUGCGUAGAUAUCAGAAAGAACACCAGUGGCGAAGGCGGCCCUCUGGUCCAUUAUUGACGCUAAAGCACGAAAGCGUGGGGAGCAAACAGGAUUAGAUACCCUGGUAGUCCACGCCUUAAACGAUGAAUACUAGACGUUGGGGUCAAACUCAGUGUCGCAGCUAACGCAUUAAGUAUUCCACCUGGGGAGUACGAUCGCAAGGUUG